This 960-nucleotide ribosomal RNA is filed under the name uncultured organism. RNAcentral's name for it is "bacterial SSU rRNA". It matches the Rfam family "Bacterial small subunit ribosomal RNA", at positions 470 to 1428 of the family's 1533-position model. The record is from RNAcentral.
UGACGGUACCCUACUAGAAAGGAGCCGCUAACUUCGUGCCAGAAGCGUCGGUAAUACGGGGGCUCCAAGCGUUAUCCGGUGUUAUUGGGCGUAAAGAGUCGUGUAGGUGGUUGGGUAAGUUAUCUUUCAAAUAUCUUUGCUUAACAAAGAGGAGGGGGAUAAUACUGCUCGACUAGAAUUUUCUCAAGGGAGAUCGGAACUGAGGGAGGAGUAGUGAAAUGCGUUGAUACCCUCGGGAACACCAGUGGCGUAGGCGGAUCUCUGGGAGAAGAUUGACACUGAGACACGAAAGCUAGGGGAGCGAAGCAGAUUAGAGACCUGCGUAGUCCUAGCCGUAAACGCAUGCUUGCUAGCUGCAUGAAUCUACCUUCGGGUGGUAUCGUGUGGCGAAGGUAACCCGUUAAGCAAGCCGCCUGGAAAGUACGGCCGCAAGGCUGAAAUUCAAAGGAAUUGGCGGGGAGGCACACAACCAGUGGAACAUGUGGUUUAAUUCGAGACUAACCGAAGAACCUCACCAGGGUUUGACAUGUAGCUGCACGUCUUAAGAAAUUAAGACUCUCUUGAAGGUGCUACACAGGUGCUGCAUGGCUGUCGUCAGCUCGUUCCGUGAGGAGUGCCCUUAAGUGGGACAACGAGCGCAACCCCUAUUACAUGUUAGAAAUGUCAUGUAAGACUGCCUUGCCAUUUGGCGGGGAGGAAGGAGAGGCAGACGUCAAGUCCGCAUGGUCCUUAUGCCCUGGGCUACACACAUGUUACAAUGAGUACGGCAAUGAGUCUGUCGCGAGCACGUAAGUGUAAGCUAAUCUCUUAAAUGUACUCUCAGUGGGGAUUGAGGUCUGCAACUCGACCUCAUGAACACGGAAUUGGUAGUAAUCGCGGGUCAGCUAUACCGCGGUGAUACGUUCUUGCCUCUUGCACACACCGCCCGUCAAACCAGCAAAGUCGAUUGUAUCCGAACCU